Molecule: small RNA, 107 nt
Filed under: Marmota monax (woodchuck)
Lineage: Eukaryota; Metazoa; Chordata; Mammalia; Rodentia; Sciuridae
Source: RNAcentral
GCUGGGUGUGGUGGGGCAUGCCUGUAAUCCCAGUGACUCAGGAGGCUAAGGCCAGAGGAUCACAAGCUCGAGGCCAGCCUCAGCAACUUAGUGAGAACCUGUCUCAA